Long non-coding RNA from Eriocheir sinensis (Chinese mitten crab), 1289 nucleotides. RefSeq lists it as uncharacterized. The record is from RefSeq and is a predicted model, not a curated record. NCBI's taxonomy places the organism in Eukaryota, Metazoa, Arthropoda, Malacostraca, Decapoda, Varunidae. The transcript has 3 exons.
UUCAUCCAUAGCUUGUUCAGAAUAUGCAGUUCUAGGUUCAUUAACAAGACUAGGAGGUACGACCGUAGCCGUAGUAUUUGUGUUAGUUGCAACAUUUUCUUCGUCUAAUUUUCUCUUCUUAGACUGCACCGCCGUCAGACAAUCAGUCGUUGAUUUGGCUUUCAUCGUCUUGUGAUCGGAUAUAGCUAUUACAUUACCAAUGUUAUUUCUGAUAAAAGAUUUCAUGGAGUGAAUCAAGGAAAAGUUAUCCAAGGAUUUCCUGUAACUUUGAGUACAUUUGUAUUUGUGUUAGUGUUACAGAUGGUACAGUACUGGGACGCGACGUGUUUCACUUGCGGAUUUGUGCUUGUCCGACACGAGAUUUAAAGACAGACGAACAAGCUAACUCUAAGAAGAGAAGAUUAAAACGCAAAAGAUAUUCAACUGAGACUCAGAUCGCAAAAAUACCAAAACUAGUUGACCCAGAGCCUCAUGUGUCCAACUUAAAUGAAGUUUACAACAUUAAGGUAGUUGGACGUCAGUUGUACUUGUUCAUGAUGAAGAUCAUGCAGUUUUACUCCAGCACCCACCUGAACAUUCCUGACGCUCCAUGUCAACAAAACGAAAACACGAUGGUACACCAAGAGCAGGAUGUGCUCAUGAGAAACAUGUAUUCUAAUAAUCUGAAGAAGCUCAAAGAAAAGCUGAAGAACUUGAGAGAAGAAAGCAAACAGGGGAGUGAGCAGAAAAGCAUCGAAAUUAUAGAAAUAGAAAGCCCAGAAAACUCAGAAAAAGAAAAACAGGGAAGCCCAGAAAAUACAGAAAAAGGAAACACUAAAAAAAAGAAAACAAUCCUAUAGAAGAAUAACUAAACCUAAUCAAAGACAACAACCCUAUAGAAGAGCCACUAAACCUAAUCAAAGAUAACAAACCUGUAUCAUUACGUACGGUGAAAAGAAACAAACCAUAUCGUCACAUUCCAUUUGUACAUGUCACAAGGGAACCUCGAGAACCUCUUGUUACUCUCAAGAAAUUCUGAGUUAAGUAACACAUGUAUGUAAAUAGGGUUUAGCUAAAGUAGGGUCCAAUAUUUUAAAUAUAUUUUUCGAAACGUUUUUAAAGUGUUAUAUAAUAAAUGUGUUUGAACAAAGUUAAACGGAAAAGAAACUUGCACAUAGUUUGUGCAAGAAACUGGGGUCAGGAUAUGCAAAGAGUUUGUCACAGGCAGGAUCUACACACAGUUUAACCGGAGAAGAAACUGGGGUCAGGAUUUGCACAGAGUUUGUCAGGUGGGUUCAAGAUUUGCACAG